AGUGAACGCUGGCGGUAGGCCUAACACAUGCAAGUCGAACGGCAGCACAGUAAGAGCUUGCUCUUACGGGUGGCGAGUGGCGGACGGGUGAGGAAUACAUCGGAAUCUACUUUUUCGUGGGGGAUAACGUAGGGAAACUUACGCUAAUACCGCAUACGACCUACGGGUGAAAGCAGGGGAUCUUCGGGCCUUGCGCGACUGAAUGAGCCGAUGUCGGAUUAGCUAGUUGGCGGGGUAAAGGCCCACCAAGGCGACGAUCCGUAGCUGGUCUGAGAGGAUGAUCAGCCACACGGGAACUGAGACACGGUCCAGACUCCUACGGGAGGCAGCAGUGGGGAAUAUUGGACAAUGGGCGCAAGCCUGAUCCAGCCAUACCGCGUGGGUGAAGAAGGCCUUCGGGUUGUAAAGCCCUUUUGUUGGGAAAGAAAAGCAGCAGGUUAAUACCCCGCUGUUCUGACGGUACCCAAAUAAUAAGCACCGGCUAACUUCGUG
This 492-nucleotide ribosomal RNA is filed under the name uncultured bacterium. RNAcentral describes it as "partial 16S ribosomal RNA". It matches the Rfam family "Bacterial small subunit ribosomal RNA", at positions 29 to 507 of the family's 1533-position model. The record is from RNAcentral.